This 473-nucleotide ribosomal RNA is filed under the name uncultured bacterium. RNAcentral describes it as "bacterial SSU rRNA". It matches the Rfam family "Bacterial small subunit ribosomal RNA", at positions 8 to 507 of the family's 1533-position model. The record is from RNAcentral.
AGAGUUUGAUCCUGGCUCAGAUUGAACGCUGGCGGUAUGCCUAACACAUGCAAGUCGAACGAGGUAGCAAUACCUAGUGGCGGACGGGUGAGGAAUACGUAGGGAUCUGCCCUCGAGCUCGGGAUAACCAGUCGAAAGACUGGCUAAUACCGGAUAUGACCACAAGAUCUGAGGAUCAAGGGGUAAAAGGUUUUUCGCUUGAGGAUGAGCCCAUGUGGGAUUAGCUAGUUGGUGUAGGUAACGGCUCACCAAGGCGACGAUCCCUAACUGGUCUUAGAGGAUGAUCAGUCACACUGGAACUGAGACACGGUCCAGACUCCUACGGGAGGCAGCAGUAGGGAAUAUUGCACAAUGGAGGAAACUCUGAUGCAGCGACGCCGCGUGAGUGAUGAAGGCCUUCGGGUCGUAAAGCUCUGUCGUAUGGGACUAACAAAAUGAAGGUACCAUGCAAGAAAGGAUCGGCUAACUUCGUG